Molecule: ribosomal RNA, 423 nt
Filed under: uncultured bacterium
Lineage: Bacteria
Description: bacterial SSU rRNA
Rfam family: Bacterial small subunit ribosomal RNA
Source: RNAcentral
UGAGGAAUAUUGGUCAAUGGGCGAGAGCCUGAACCAGCCAAGUAGCGUGAAGGAUGACUGCCCUAUGGGUUGUAAACUUCUUUUAUAUGGGAAUAAAGUGAGCCACGUGUGGCUUUUUGUAUGUACCAUAUGAAUAAGGACCGGCUAACUACGUGCCAGCAGCCGCGGUAAAACGUAGGGUGCGAGCGUUGUCCGGAAUUACUGGGUGUAAAGGGAGCGCAGGCGGAAGAAUAAGUUGGAAGUGAAAACUAUGGGCUCAACCCAUAACCUGCUUUCAAAACUGUUUUUCUUGAGUGGUGCAGAGGUAGGCGGAAUUCCCGGUGUAGCGGUGGAAUGCGUAGAUAUCACGAAGAACUCCGAUUGCGAAGGCAGCUCACUAGACUGGUCACUGACACUGAGGCUCGAAAGUGUGGGUAUCAAACA